AGCCCCGUGGUGUAAUGGUAGCACAACGGUUUUUGGUACCGUUAGUUUAGGUUCGAACCCUGGCGGGGCUGCCA
RNAcentral lists this transfer RNA (74 nucleotides) under Lentisphaeria bacterium. Its description in RNAcentral is "tRNA-Gln". It matches the Rfam family "tRNA". Rfam says of the family: Transfer RNA (tRNA) molecules are approximately 80 nucleotides in length. Lineage: Bacteria; Pseudomonadati; Lentisphaerota; Lentisphaeria. The record is from RNAcentral.